GGUGCUAUGAUGAGAUAAAAACACCAAGGAAGUGUUUAUGGGCAGUGGUUUUGCCGUGAGCCUUAUUUCAAAACGACUUCUCCUUCCACUGAGCACU
This is a small nucleolar RNA of Lathyrus oleraceus (garden pea), 97 nucleotides long. RefSeq annotates it as small nucleolar RNA Z152/R70/R12. The transcript has a single exon. The record is from RefSeq and is a predicted model, not a curated record. Lineage: Eukaryota; Viridiplantae; Streptophyta; Magnoliopsida; Fabales; Fabaceae.